RNAcentral lists this long non-coding RNA (357 nucleotides) under Monodelphis domestica (gray short-tailed opossum). RNAcentral describes it as "lncRNA (ENSMODG00000040884.1)". The record is from RNAcentral. Lineage: Eukaryota; Metazoa; Chordata; Mammalia; Didelphimorphia; Didelphidae.
GUGAAAUAAGCAGCACCAGGACAUUGUACACAGUAACAGCAAUAUUGUGGAAUUAUCAAUGCUCAUCAUUGAAAAAUGCCCUUCAGGAUUCUUGUGUCUGCCAUUCCACCAUCCUGCCAUCCCAAGGAGAGGUCCUGCUUGUGGAGCCCAGGCUGGAUAAUGCUGUAAGACUAGAAAAGUAUCAAGGAUGGUCUCAGAGAUGGAGCAAGUCUACUGUUCAAGGACUCAGCCUUGCUAACUUGUGAAAGGGGCUCAUCACCAAUAUGCUGAACCAUGGGGGAUGAGUUCUUUGGCCAUGGAAACCCAUGACACACCAAGAGGAAUAAAAACUAGGCACCAGCUCUUAUUGAGCUUUGU